This is a long non-coding RNA of Tachysurus vachellii, 170 nucleotides long. RefSeq lists it as uncharacterized. The transcript has 3 exons. NCBI's taxonomy places the organism in Eukaryota, Metazoa, Chordata, Actinopteri, Siluriformes, Bagridae. The record is from RefSeq and is a predicted model, not a curated record.
GGCACUGCUCAAUCACGUCAACUUAAUAACAACCUCAGUUUUCUAUACCAUCUUGCCAACCGAAUCCCUGCCGCAUGAGGCCGACCAUCAGCGAGGUGCAGUAAUUACACUUGGUGGGGAUGCUGAAGGAUUUCACCGCAAACUGAUGAGGCUUGGGCUAGAGAAUAGAG